This 468-nucleotide ribosomal RNA is filed under the name uncultured bacterium. Its description in RNAcentral is "partial 16S ribosomal RNA". It matches the Rfam family "Bacterial small subunit ribosomal RNA", at positions 28 to 507 of the family's 1533-position model. The record is from RNAcentral.
GACGAACGCUGGCGGCGUGCUUAACACAUGCAAGUCGAACGGAAAGGCCCUGCUUUUGUGGGGUGCUCGAGUGGCGAACGGGUGAGUAACACGUGAGUAACCUGCCCUUGACUUUGGGAUAACUUCAGGAAACUGGGGCUAAUACCGGAUAGGAGCUCCUGCUGCAUGGUGGGGGUUGGAAAGUUUCGGCGGUUGGGGAUGGACUCGCGGCUUAUCAGCUUGUUGGUGGGGUAGUGGCUUACCAAGGCUUUGACGGGUAGCCGGCCUGAGAGGGUGACCGGCGACAUUGGGCCUGAGAUACGGCCCAGACUCCUACGGGAGGCAGAGGUGGGGAAUAGUGCACAAUGGGCGGAAGCCUGAUGCAGCAACGCCGCGUGCGGGAAGACGGCCUUCGGGUUGUAAACCGCUUUCGCCUGUGACGAAGCGUGAGUGACGGUAAUGGGUAAAGAAGCACCGGCUAACUACGUG